RNAcentral lists this ribosomal RNA (208 nucleotides) under uncultured bacterium. Its description in RNAcentral is "partial 16S ribosomal RNA". It matches the Rfam family "Bacterial small subunit ribosomal RNA", at positions 568 to 774 of the family's 1533-position model. The record is from RNAcentral.
CGCGUAGGCGGGAGUGAAAGUCAGAUGUGAAAUUUCGGGGCUCAACCUCGAAGCUGCAUUUGAAACUUCAUUUCUUGAGGAUAGGCGGAGAAAACGGAAUUCCACAAGUAGCGGUGAAAUGCGUAGAUAUGUGGAAGAACACCGGUGGCGAAGGCGGUUUUCUAGCUUAUACCUGACGCUGAGGCGCGAAAGCAAGGGGGAGCAAACA